RNAcentral lists this ribosomal RNA (839 nucleotides) under uncultured bacterium. RNAcentral's name for it is "bacterial SSU rRNA". It matches the Rfam family "Bacterial small subunit ribosomal RNA", at positions 8 to 856 of the family's 1533-position model. The record is from RNAcentral.
AGAGUUUGAUCCUGGCUCAGGAUGAACGCUGGCGGCGUGCCUAACACAUGCAAGUCGAGCGGGAUUCAGAUGAAGUUUCGGCGGAUUCUGAUGAGAGCGGCGGACGGGUGAGUAACGCGUAGGUAAUCUGCCCCUUACACAGGGAUAGCCCGGCGAAAGCUGAAUUAAUACCUGAUAAUGCGACGGAGUCACAUGUCUCUGUCGCCAAAGAUUUAUCGGUGAGGGAUGAACCUGCGUCUGAUUAGCUAGUUGGUGAGGUAACGGCCCACCAAGGCAACGAUCAGUAGCCGACCUGAGAGGGUAAUCGGCCACAUUGGAACUGAGACACGGUCCAAACUCCUACGGGAGGCAGCAGUGGGGAAUAUUGCACAAUGGGCGCAAGCCUGAUGCAGCAACGCCGCGCGAGCGAUGAAGGUCUUCGGAUCGUAAAGCUCUGUCCUUAGGGACGAAGAAGUGACGGUACCUAAGGAGGAAGCCCCGGCUAACUACGUGCCAGCAGCCGCGGUAAUACGUAGGGGGCGAGCGUUAUCCGGAAUUAUUGGGCGUAAAGAGUACGUAGGUGGUUUUGUAAGCGAGGGGUGAAAGCCCGGGGCUUAACUCCGGCGAGCCUUUCGAACUGCAAGACUUGAGUGCAGGAGGGGUAAGUGGAACUCCAUGUGUAGCGGUGAAAUGCGUAGAUAUAUGGAAGAACACCGGUGGCGAAGGCGACUUACUGGACUGUAACUGACACUGAGGUACGAAAGCGUGGGGAGCAAACAGGAUUAGAUACCCUGGUAGUCCACGCCGUAAACGAUGAGCACUAGAUGUUGGGAUCCCAAGAUUUCGGCGUCGAAGUUAAC